Molecule: microRNA, 22 nt
Filed under: Oreochromis niloticus (Nile tilapia)
Lineage: Eukaryota; Metazoa; Chordata; Actinopteri; Cichliformes; Cichlidae
Description: oni-miR-10562
Source: miRBase by way of RNAcentral
AGCCAAUGAGCGUGCGGACUCA